This 491-nucleotide ribosomal RNA is filed under the name uncultured bacterium. RNAcentral's name for it is "partial 16S ribosomal RNA". It matches the Rfam family "Bacterial small subunit ribosomal RNA", at positions 29 to 507 of the family's 1533-position model. The record is from RNAcentral.
GUGCACGCUGGCGGUAGGCCUAACACAUGCAAGUCGAACGGCAGCACAGUAAGAGCUUGCUCUUACGGGUGGCGAGUGGCGGACGGGUGAGGAAUACAUCGGAAUCUACUUUUUCGUGGGGGAUAACGUAGGGAAACUUACGCUAAUACCGCAUACGACCUACGGGUGAAAGCAGGGGGUCUUCGGACCUUGCGCGAUUGAAUGAGCCGAUGUCGGAUUAGCUAGUUGGCGGGGUAAAGGCCCACCAAGGCGACGAUCCGUAGCUGGUCUGAGAGGAUGAUCAGCCACACUGGAACUGAGACACGGUCCAGACUCCUACGGGAGGCAGCAGUGGGGAAUAUUGGACAAUGGGCGCAAGCCUGAUCCAGCCAUACCGCGUGGGUGAAGAAGGCCUUCGGGUUGUAAAGCCCUUUUGUUGGGAAAGAAAAGCAGCAGGUUAAUACCCCGCUGUUCUGACGGUACCCAAAGAAUAAGCACCGGCUAACUUCGUG